RNAcentral lists this ribosomal RNA (369 nucleotides) under uncultured bacterium. Its description in RNAcentral is "bacterial SSU rRNA". It matches the Rfam family "Bacterial small subunit ribosomal RNA", at positions 524 to 898 of the family's 1533-position model. The record is from RNAcentral.
UACGUAGGGGGCUAGCGUUGUCCGGAUUUACUGGGCGUAAAGGGUGAGUAGGCGGUAACGUGUGUCAGAUGUUUAAUCUAUGGGCUCAACCCAUAUCAGCAUUUGAAACUACGUAACUUGAGUGCAGGAGAGGUAAGUGGAAUUCCUAGUGUAGCGGUGGAAUGCGUAGAUAUUAGGAGGAACACCAGUGGCGAAGGCGACUUACUGGACUGCAACUGACGCUGAGUCACGAAAGCGUGGGGAGCAAACAGGAUUAGAUACCCUGGUAGUCCACGCUGUAAACGAUGAGUGCUAGGUGUUGGCCGAGAGGUCAGUGCCGAAGUAAACGCAAUAAGCACUCCGCCUGGGGAGUACGGUCGCAAGACUGAA